UGACUUUCAUCUGACAGAAAGUGUACAAAAUGUUUUGAGGGAUCAAGUGCAGCCAACCCAAGAAUUGAUGGGUUGGACUGGUUUUCAUUCUCAUAAGAGCAGACAGUUACCUACCAGCAAAAGUUCAGGGAUUGACUAUGGCCAACCCAAGACAUGAUGAAAACAUCCUAUGAAUCAUCUGAGCUGUCUUGAUAGUUGCGGAAGGAAGAAAGUUCGGCAACACAUCAAAAUAAAUUCAUGUUAUGGAUCAUUAGAAAUGAAAGGAGAGACUGUUGAAGGAGAUAUAGAACUCUAUUUCGAACUAGUGUGAAGGAUUUGUGACCUUUUAUUAUGAAUCUGAGACCCUAUGUGAAGGAUCUGUUACCUACAUAUAGUGUGAAAAAUUGUUUACCUCGUAUGAAGGAUCUGUGACCUUGUGAAGGUUCUUGACCUUUCGUGAAGGUUUUGUGACCCAAUGAAAAGGUUCUGCUGCCUUGUGUUAAGGAUAUGUAACCUUGUUUGAAGGAUCUGUGACCUUGUGUGAAAGAUCUGUGACCUUAUGUGAAGGAUAUGUGACCUUCUGCGAAGACCUUGUGUGAAGGAUGUGUGACCUUGUGAGAAGGAUAUUGCAUUUUCCGGUCUUUGUUCCUUCCUUUCUUUUGUUGCUGUUUUGAACCAAAAAACGUAUGUGCUAUUAUCACCCCAGCAGUUAAUUUCUUUGUUACACCAGUUGACGUAUUUACCAGUUUAUAGUUCUAUCAAAUGAAUGCGAUGUCUUGCAUUCACCCUUCGACUUCCAUUAUUUUUUGUUGGACACAUGUGUGACUUUUUAUCCAUACGAUUAUACUCUAGCCUUUGAUGUUUAAUGCUGUUUGGAAAAUUUAUGAUGAGUGCAGUAUAACAAUUUUUUGUGUUAUGUAGUAUUAGCAAAACUUAACUGCCCUAACAACAUGUAAACAAUGUUAUGGAAACGUUUUGUAACUAAGUGUUCGUUAUUUAG
This is a long non-coding RNA of Saccostrea echinata, 979 nucleotides long. RefSeq lists it as uncharacterized. The record is from RefSeq and is a predicted model, not a curated record. The transcript has 3 exons. Lineage: Eukaryota; Metazoa; Mollusca; Bivalvia; Ostreida; Ostreidae.